UACGAAGGGGGCGAGCGUUGUUCGGAUUUACUGGGCGUAAAGGGCGCGCAGGCGGCGAUCUUUGUCAGGCGUGAAAGCCCCGGGCUUAACCUGGGAACUGCGCUUGGGACGGGAUUGCUGGAGACCGGGAGAGGAGAGUGGAAUUCCCAGUGUAGAGGUGAAAUUCGUAGAUAUUGGCUGGAACACCGGUGGCGAAAGCGGCUCUCUGGCCCGGUUCUGACGCUGAGGCGCGAAAGCGUGGGGAGCAAACAGG
This 253-nucleotide ribosomal RNA is filed under the name uncultured bacterium. RNAcentral's name for it is "partial 16S ribosomal RNA". It matches the Rfam family "Bacterial small subunit ribosomal RNA", at positions 524 to 776 of the family's 1533-position model. The record is from RNAcentral.